Molecule: ribosomal RNA, 240 nt
Filed under: Piezogaster spurcus
Lineage: Eukaryota; Metazoa; Arthropoda; Insecta; Hemiptera; Coreidae
Description: partial small subunit ribosomal RNA
Source: RNAcentral
UAUUUAUGUAAAAGAUAUUGAAAUUGAUUUUGUUUCAUUAAAUUGGUUAUAUUGGAUAGUUUUAUAUACUAGUUUUUGCGCGAUAUUUAUUUUAGUCUAAAAGAUUAAAUAUAUUUUUAUUAUUUGUAGUUUUUAAUAUUGGUGUCAAUAAAUUUAUUUAGACCCAGCUAAUUUAUUUUAGAAUUGUAUAAUUCUGUGCCAGCAUACGCGAUUACACAUUUAAUUCUAAUCAAUUAUUUU